UUAAAAGUAUUUUCAUUACCAUCGAGCUAUAAUCGAUGGACAGACCCCCUAUGGGGAAACCUCUUAUCAUAUGGUAAUUUAUAUACCGAGCCUGCUAUGGCUGAGUGCCUACGAGCGAGCCCAGUUGGUGAGAUACAAAGCCUAGUAUGGCCGAGCACUUAUGAGCGAGCCUACUACGGCAGAGCAUAUAUAUAUGUAUACCAUGUCUUAUUGGGCCAGAUGACUAUUUUAUUGACUAUACUGAGAUAGUUGAGUCAUUAUCAGCAUUUGAGCAUAUCUUCAGAUUUUCUUUGACUCCCAAUUGUUUUCAGUUAUUAUAUUAUUAGUUAAGUUUCAGCUUCAGUAUAUUGCCUUACAUACUCGGUACAUUGUUUCGUACUGACGUCCCUUUCUGGGGGUGCUGCAUUUCAUGCGUGCAGGUUUGAACAUACAGACGAGUAGAUCUCAUCAGUAGGUGUAUUCCCGAGUUUAGCCUUAUUGUUAAGCUCCCCGUCUUUUGGAGUUGCCAGGUCUAGCAGUUUGGAGUAUGUCACGCCCCAUGCCUAGGGGCGAGACUGGCACUCAGUGCCUCAACUAUCCUUGCGUAUCACCUGUGAAUCCGAGACUUUGAACAUGUAAUGUCAUAUUUUUGGCCAUGGGCUGCAAGAAAAUGUACGAUGUAAAAUAUAAAACUAAAUAGAGACUAACGCUGACUAACCAUCAACAUAAGGCUGGGCCGGCAAGGCCCUCAUAUUUACUACAACUGACAAGCCAACAAAAUAUACGUACAGGGCCUACCAGUCCAACAUACUGUAUUAACUGACAGGACAUAUCUACAAGCCUCUAAUAAUAGAUGUAUAAUGAUCGGAACAAGGCUCCAACCUACCCAUAACCUAUCUACAUAUAUACACAAGAUACACACCACACUGCUAGCCCGGUAACUCCGAAAGAAGGGGAGCUUACCGAUAAAGCUGAUCUCGGGCAACACCUACUGAGGAGGUCUACCCGUCUGUCUGUCUGACCCUGCAUGCAUGAAAUGCAGCAUCCCCAGAAAGGAACGUCAGUACGAAAUAAUGUACCGAGUAUGUAAGGCAAUAUACUGAAACUGAAACUGAACUGAUAAUAUAACAACUGAGAACAACUGGUAGUCAAAGAAAACUCGAGGAUAUGCUCAUCUGAUAAUACUGACUUAAUUCUCUCAAUAUAGUAAGUAAAAUAACUGUCCGACCCUAUAAGGCUCGGUAUACAUAUAUAUCUGUUCUGCCGUAGUAGGCUCGCUCAUAAGCGCUCGGCCAUACUAGGCUCUGUAUCUCGACCAACUGGGCUCGCCCAUAUGCGCUCGGCCACAGUAGGAUCGUCAUAUAACUUACCAUCUGAUCAGAGGUUGCCCAAUAGGGGCCUGCCCAUCGAUUAUAGCUCGAUGGUAAUGAAAAUACUUUUAAUACUGUAUAUAUAAACUCUCUGCUCUCUUGACUGGAAGAAGGAAAUACUCAACUGAAUAUGAAAUCCUGAUAAGGAAAUAUUAUAACUUACAACACUAGAAAAAUAUACGCAAUUUGCGAGACUAGCAAAAUAUACGUAAAUUUUGGGAUAUGAAUGUAAUGACGAGAUCAUGACAAAUGAAAAGAAAGAGCUUAGCCUUAAUAUAGAAGAGCUUAUCCUUAACAUACCUGUAACAAGUAAGCACAGAAUAUAUCCUGAAAUCAAUAUUUUGUACCAGCUAAAACUUCCCGCCAUAAUCCCAUACGGAUCGCUACUGAAGAAAUCUCCAAGAACUAAUCAUAAACCCGAAAUGCUUGAGAAAUCGAAGAUGAUAAUUACUCAAGUCAAGUCCAUGUUGGUGUCCGAGCUUAGUUCUGAGACGAUUGGUAAUGUCGAGGACAUAGCUGAUUUUUCCAAUGAUGUUUUCAACACGUUGAAUUGGCUCGGUGCUGAUUAUGAUUGUUUCUAUAGAGAUGUGAAGGAAUUGAUUUAUAAUAAAUAUGAAUUGCAAAUUGAAGAGAGGAAAGGCGUGACUAAUUUAGCGUCUAUAUCAUUACUGAUUAGGCAUCCAAAAAAAUGUUGUUUCAAUC
Molecule: long non-coding RNA, 2051 nt
Filed under: Nicotiana tabacum (common tobacco)
Lineage: Eukaryota; Viridiplantae; Streptophyta; Magnoliopsida; Solanales; Solanaceae
Description: long non-coding RNA (NTAB_LNC017958)
Source: RNAcentral